This 591-nucleotide ribosomal RNA is filed under the name Candida tropicalis. RNAcentral describes it as "eukaryotic LSU rRNA". It matches the Rfam family "Eukaryotic large subunit ribosomal RNA", at positions 62 to 669 of the family's 3401-position model. The record is from RNAcentral. Lineage: Eukaryota; Fungi; Ascomycota; Pichiomycetes; Serinales; Debaryomycetaceae.
AAACCAACAGGGAUUNCCUUAGUAGCGGCGAGUGAAGCGGCAAAAGCUCAAAUUUGAAAUCUGGCUCUUUCAGAGUCCGAGUUGUAAUUUGAAGAAGGUAUCUUUGGGUCUGGCUCUUGUCUAUGUUUCUUGGAACAGAACGUCACAGAGGGUGAGAAUCCCGUGCGAUGAGAUGAUCCAGGCCUAUGUAAAGUUCCUUCGAAGAGUCGAGUUGUUUGGGAAUGCAGCUCUAAGUGGGUGGUAAAUUCCAUCUAAAGCUAAAUAUUGGCGAGAGACCGAUAGCGAACAAGUACAGUGAUGGAAAGAUGAAAAGAACUUUGAAAAGAGAGUGAAAAAGUACGUGAAAUUGUUGAAAGGGAAGGGCUUGAGAUCAGACUUGGUAUUUUGUAUGUUACUUCUUCGGGGGUGGCCUCUACAGUUUAUCGGGCCAGCAUCAGUUUGGGCGGUAGGAGAAUUGCGUUGGAAUGUGGCACGGCUUCGGUUGUGUGUUAUAGCCUUCGUCGAUACUGCCAGCCUAGACUGAGGACUGCGGUUUAUACCUAGGAUGUUGGCAUAAUGAUCUUAAGUCGCCCGUCUUGAAACACGGACCAC